AUGGUACUCCCUCCGUCCUAAAAUUUUUGUUUUAGAUUUGUCUAGAUACGGAUGUAUUUAAUACUAAAACAUGACUUGAUAUAUCCGUAUAUAAACAAAAGACAAGAAUUUGGGAUGGAGGGAGUACGUU
Molecule: non-coding RNA, 130 nt
Organism: Triticum aestivum (bread wheat)
Lineage: Eukaryota; Viridiplantae; Streptophyta; Magnoliopsida; Poales; Poaceae
Source: Rfam